GAUGAACGCUGGCGGCGUGCCUAAUACAUGCCAGUCGAGCGAACAGAUGAGGAGCUUGCUCCUCUGACGUUAGCGGCGGACGGGUGAGUAACACGUGGAUAACCUACCUAUAAGACUGGGAUAACUUCGGGAAACCGGAGCUAAUACCAGAUAAUAUAUUGAACCGCAUGGUUCAAUAGUGAAAGACGGUUUUGCUGUCACUUAUAGAUGGAUCCGCGCCGCAUUAGCUAGUUGGUAAGGUAACGGCUUACCAAGGCAACGAUGCGUAGCCGACCUGAGAGGGUGAUCGGCCACACUGGAACUGAGACACGGUCCAGACUCCUACGGGAGGCAGCAGUAGGGAAUCUUCCGCAAUGGGCGAAAGCCUGACGGAGCAACGCCGCGUGAGUGAUGAAGGUCUUCGGAUCGUAAAACUCUGUUAUUAGGGAAGAACAAAUGUGUAAGUAACUAUGCACGUCUUGACGGUACCUAAUCAGAAAGCCACGGCUAACUACGUG
Molecule: ribosomal RNA, 497 nt
Filed under: uncultured bacterium
Lineage: Bacteria
Description: partial 16S ribosomal RNA
Rfam family: Bacterial small subunit ribosomal RNA
Source: RNAcentral